UGAGGUAGUAGAUUGUAUAGUUGUAGGGUAGUUAUUUUGCCCUCUUCAGGAGAUAACUAUACAAUCUAUUGCCUUCC
This 77-nucleotide microRNA precursor is filed under the name Gekko japonicus. RNAcentral describes it as "Gja-Let-7-P2b1_pre stem-loop". It matches the Rfam family "let-7 microRNA precursor family", at positions 7 to 78 of the family's 84-position model. Rfam says of the family: This family represents the microRNAs (miRNA) let-7 and mir-98. let-7 was identified from a study of developmental timing in C. elegans, and was later shown to be part of a much larger class of non-coding RNAs termed miRNAs. The extents of the hairpin precursors are not generally known and are estimated based on hairpin prediction. The record is from RNAcentral. Lineage: Eukaryota; Metazoa; Chordata; Lepidosauria; Squamata; Gekkonidae.